This 700-nucleotide ribosomal RNA is filed under the name uncultured bacterium. RNAcentral describes it as "bacterial SSU rRNA". It matches the Rfam family "Bacterial small subunit ribosomal RNA", at positions 8 to 720 of the family's 1533-position model. The record is from RNAcentral.
AGAGUUUGAUCCUGGCUCAGGAUGAACGCUGGCGGCGUGCUUAACACAUGCAAGUCGAACGGUGAUAGUAAUAUCACAGUGGCGCACGGGUGAGGAACACGUAGCUCAUCUGCCCCGAAGUGUGGGAUAACGCUCCGAAAGGAGUGCUAAUACCGCAUAAGCUCACGGACUGUAGAGGUCUGCGAGAAAAGGCGAAGCUCGUAAGAGCCAGUCGCUUUGGGAGGAGGCUGCGGCCCAUCAGGUAGUUGGUGUGGUAACGGCGCACCAAGCCGACGACGGGUAGGGGACCUGAGAGGGUGACCCCCCACACUGGGACUGAGACACGGCCCAGACUCCUACGGGAGGCGGCAGUGAGGAAUAUUGCCCAAUGGAGGAAACUCUGAGGCAGCGACGCCGCGUGGGUGAAGAAGGCCUUCGGGUCGUAAAGCCCUUUUCUGUGUGACGAGCAAGGACGGUAGCACAGGAAAAAGUCUCGGCUAACUACGUGCCAGCAGCCGCGGUAAAACGUAGGAGGCAUGCGUUAUCCGGAGUUACUGGGCGUAAAGCGUGCGUAGGCGGGUCGGUAAGUGGGUCGUGAAAGCGCCGGGCUAAACCGGGCGAGGACGAACUAGACUGCCGGUCUAGAGGCGGAUAGAGGGGUGCGGAAUUCCGGGUGUAGCGGUGAAAUGUGUAGAGAUCCGGAGGAACACCAGUGGCGCAG